UCCAGACUCCUACGGGAGGCAGCAGUGAGGAAUAUUGGUCAAUGGCCGCAGGGCUGAACCAGCCAAGUCGCGUGAGGGAUGACGGUCCUAUGGAUUGUAAACCUCUUUUGUCAGGGAGCAAAGGGCGCCACGUGUGGCGCUUUGCGAGUACCUGAAGAAAAAGCAUCGGCUAACUCCGUGCCAGCAGCCGCGGUAAUACGGAGGAUGCGAGCGUUAUCCGGAUUUAUUGGGUUUAAAGGGUGCGUAGGCGGACAGUCAAGUCAGCGGUAAAAAUGCGGUGCUCAACGCCGUACAGCCGUUGAAACUGGCAGUCUUGAGUGGGCGAGAAGUAUGCGGAAUGCGUGGUGUAGCGGUGAAAUGCAUAGAUAUCACGCAGAACUCCGAUUGCGAAGGCAGCAUACCGGCGCCCGACUGACGCUGAGGCACGAAAGCGUGGGUAUCGAACAGGAUUAGAUACCCCAGUAC
This 465-nucleotide ribosomal RNA is filed under the name uncultured bacterium. Its description in RNAcentral is "bacterial SSU rRNA". It matches the Rfam family "Bacterial small subunit ribosomal RNA", at positions 330 to 793 of the family's 1533-position model. The record is from RNAcentral.